GACGAACGCUGGCGGCGUGCCUAAUACAUGCAAGUCGAACGCAGUGGCGGACGGGUGAGUAACACGUGGGUAACCUGCCCUGCACUUCGGGAUAAGCCUGGGAAACUGGGUCUAAUACCGGAUAGUGUGGGUUGGGCCCGGGGCCUAUCAGCUGGUUGGUGGGGUAAUGGCCUACCAAGGCGGCGGCGAGUAGCCGGCCUGGGAGGGGGGACGGCCGCAGUGGGACUGAGAGACGGGCCAGACGCCGACGGGAGGCAGCAGGGGGGAAUAUUGCACAAUGGGCGGAAGCGUGAGGUAGCAAGGCCGCGUGGGGGAAAACGGCCUUCGGGUGGUAAACUCCUAUCACCAACGACGCGGUAGAUGGAGAAGAAGCACCGGCUAACUACGUGCCAGCAGCCGCGGUAAUUC
This 408-nucleotide ribosomal RNA is filed under the name uncultured bacterium. RNAcentral describes it as "partial 16S ribosomal RNA". It matches the Rfam family "Bacterial small subunit ribosomal RNA", at positions 28 to 526 of the family's 1533-position model. The record is from RNAcentral.